UCAUUCGCCCUGAAUAUGCCCCGCCUCCGGACAGCGCACUGUCAGUUAGCGGACUCAUUAUGGACACUGCUCGGAUUAGCAAUCCUCCUCAGAGUGGAGAAGCUGCGGCCAGUUUGAAGAAGACUGAACUCGCUUUACAGCUCAUUCAAGUGCUCCAGUCUGGUUUUUGAUUCUACAUCAUCCUUCAAUAUCCUACUUCAUCUUUAAAAGUUAUCAUAGUCAGCCGGAUCCGGUCCGUAUCCAGAUCAGAUGAUGGACCUGCACCCUGAGACGACCACAACGCAGCCCUGAAUGUCAGCGAAGACCACAACAAGUGAACAUCACGACUGGACUGACAUCAGCACAGAUCCUCAGCAAAGACCACGAGAAACAGACAAGUCCUUUGCACAGACCCCUAUGGCCAGCAAUGAACGUGUCAGGCCAGGAGCUGCUAGGACCACAAUGCAGUUUUAUCCUGCUUAUAGUCACUGUUAAUCCAGUCGUCCACUACUGGCUAAACGGCAGCCCUGCUGGACAGACUACAACUUCUCCUCUGAUCAAAUGACAGCAUGACGUAUCCUGAUCUUCAAGCAGUAGGAGCUGGAUGAAAUAUUCUGAAUGACAUCAGUCCACAAUCUCACUAGUGAAGCAGCCUGAAAUCAUAAUCACAUCAUCUUUGUUCAUUUAACCAGAGGAGAGCUGAGCUGACUGCUCCUGGUUUCUCCCAAGCUGUUUUUUUCUUCGUUUCAGUCACCAGCUGAAGUUUGGGUUCCACUGUCACCUCUGGAUUGCUUAGCUGGGGUUUAAAAGGCACUGAAUAUUCAAGAAUAA
Sinocyclocheilus grahami is the source of this 810-nucleotide long non-coding RNA. RefSeq lists it as uncharacterized. The record is from RefSeq and is a predicted model, not a curated record. NCBI's taxonomy places the organism in Eukaryota, Metazoa, Chordata, Actinopteri, Cypriniformes, Cyprinidae. The transcript is spliced from 3 exons.